Molecule: ribosomal RNA, 253 nt
Filed under: uncultured bacterium
Lineage: Bacteria
Description: partial 16S ribosomal RNA
Rfam family: Bacterial small subunit ribosomal RNA
Source: RNAcentral
UACGUAGGGACCAAGCGUUGUCCGGAAUCAUUGGGCGUAAAGCGCGUGUAGGCGGUCCGGUAAGUCCGCUGUGAAAGUCGGGGGCUCAACCCUCGAAUGCCGGUGGAUACUGUCGGGCUAGAGUGCGGAAGAGGCGAGUGGAAUUCCUGGUGUAGCGGUGAAAUGCGCAGAUAUCAGGAGGAACACCAAUUGCGAAGGCAGCUCGCUGGGACGUAACUGACGCUGAGGUGCGAAAGCGUGGGGAGCAAACAGG